GAUGAACGCUGGCGGCGUGCCUAAUACAUGCAAGUCGAGCGAACAGACGAGGAGCUUGCUCCUCUGACGUUAGCGGCGGACGGGUGAGUAACACGUGGAUAACCUACCUAUAAGACUGGGAUAACUUCGGGAAACCGGAGCUAAUACCGGAUAAUAUAUUGAACCGCAUGGUUCAAUAGUGAAAGACGGUAUUGCUGUCACUUAUAGAUGGAUCCGCGCCGCAUUAGCUAGUUGGUAAGGUAACGGCUUACCAAGGCAACGAUGCGUAACCGACCUGAGAGGGUGAUCGGCCACACUGGAACUGAGACACGGUCCAGACUCCUACGGGAGGCAGCAGUAGGGAAUCUUCCGCAAUGGGCGAAAGCUUGACGGAGCAACGCCGCGUGAGUGAUGAAGGUCUUCGGAUCGUAAAACUCUGUUAUUAGGGAAGAACAAAUGUGUAAGUAACUAUGCACGUCUUGACGGUACCUAAUCAGAAAGCCACGGCUAACUACGUG
This 497-nucleotide ribosomal RNA is filed under the name uncultured bacterium. RNAcentral's name for it is "partial 16S ribosomal RNA". It matches the Rfam family "Bacterial small subunit ribosomal RNA", at positions 28 to 507 of the family's 1533-position model. The record is from RNAcentral.